This 119-nucleotide ribosomal RNA is filed under the name Triticum aestivum (bread wheat). Lineage: Eukaryota; Viridiplantae; Streptophyta; Magnoliopsida; Poales; Poaceae. The record is from RNAcentral.
GGAUGCGAUCAUACCAGCACUAAAGCACCGGAUCCCAUCAGAACUACGAAGUUAAGUGUGCUUGGGCGAGAGUAGUACUAUGAUGGGUGACCUCCUGGGAAGUCCUCGUGUUGCAUUCC